RNAcentral lists this ribosomal RNA (420 nucleotides) under bacterium. Its description in RNAcentral is "partial 16S ribosomal RNA". It matches the Rfam family "Bacterial small subunit ribosomal RNA", at positions 355 to 776 of the family's 1533-position model. The record is from RNAcentral.
UGGGGGAUAUUGCACAAUGGGCGAAAGCCUGAUGCAGCGACGCCGCGUGGGGGAUGAAGGCUUUCGGGUUGUAAACCUCUUUCGCUAUCGAACAAGGCCCGCUUAGGGUGGGUUGAGGGUAGGUGGAGAAGAAGCGCCGGCUAACUACGUGCCAGCAGCCGCGGUAAUACGUAGGGCGCGAGCGUUGUCCGGAAUUAUUGGGCGUAAAGGGCUUGUAGGCGGCUUGGUGCGCCUGCUGUGAAAACGCGGGGCUUAACUUCGCGCGUGCAGUGGGUACGGGCAGGGUUGAGUGUGGUAGGGGUGACUGGAAUUCCAGGUGUAGCGGUGGAAUGCGCAGAUAUCUGGAGGAACACCGAUGGCGAAGGCAGGUCACUGGGCCAUUACUGACGCUGAGGAGCGAAAGCAUGGGUAGCGAACAGG